Molecule: ribosomal RNA, 795 nt
Filed under: Nocardia exalbida
Lineage: Bacteria; Bacillati; Actinomycetota; Actinomycetes; Mycobacteriales; Nocardiaceae
Description: bacterial SSU rRNA
Rfam family: Bacterial small subunit ribosomal RNA
Source: RNAcentral
ACUUCGGGAUAAGCCUGGRAAACUGGGUCUAWUACCGGAUAUGACCUGCUGUCKCAUGGCGGUGGGUGGAAAGAUUUWUCGGUGCKAGAUGGGCCCGCGGCCUAUCARCUUGUUGGUGGGGUAAUGGCCUACCAAGGCGACGACGGGUAGCCGACCUGAGAGGGUGACCGGCCACACUGGGACUGAGACACGGCCCARACUCCUACGGGAGGCAGCAGKGGGGAAUAUUGCACAAUGGGCRAAAGCCUGAUGCAGCGACSCCGCGUGAGGGAUGACGGCCUUCGGGUUGUAAACCUCUUUCGACAGGGACGAAGCGCAAGUGACGGUACCUGUAGAAGAAGCACCGGCCAACUACGUGCCAGCAGCCGCGGUAAUACGUAGGGUGCGAGCGUUGUCCGGAAUUACUGGGCGUAAAGAGCUUGUAGGCGGUUUGUCGCGUCGUCUGUGAAAACUCACAGCUCAACUGUGAGCUUGCAGGCGAUACGGGCAGACUUGAGUACUUCAGGGGAGACUGGAAUUCCUGGUGUAGCGGUGAAAUGCGCAGAUAUCAGGAGGAACACCGGUGGCGAAGGCGGGUCUCUGGGAAGUAACUGACGCUGAGAAGCGAAAGCGUGGGUAGCGAACAGGAUUAGAUACCCUGGUAGUCCACGCCGUAAACGGUGGGUACUAGGUGUGGGUUUCCUUCCACGGGAUCCGUGCCGUAGCUAACGCAUUAAGUACCCCGCCUGGGGAGUACGGCCGCAAGGCUAAAACUCAAAGGAAUUGACGGGGGCCCGCACAAGCGGCGGAGCAUGU